CCUACCUCAUCCUCUGUGUAGGCAAGGAUGCCAGCCAUGGGCCCUUGGGCUGCUGCUUUUAUGGCGUCUUUGAUGGCCUCGUACGAGGCCUGAGGUGGUGACCCAGGUGUGGAGGCUGGUGGGACCACCACAGACCACAGGAGGGCCAUGUGCAGGCCAGGGUCCAGCCCUGUUUGCAAGUUGCCCGGUGUUUUAAGAGACUUCACCACUUGGCUCUUCCUCCCGAAACCGUCUCUCCUUGUUCACCCCACACACUAAGCAAGUCUAGGAAGGAGAGGUAGAGUUUCCCUGCCACCCCUCCUGCCUCAGCCGCUCUCUCCAACUCACCAUCAGCCCUUCCACGAUCCCAAACUGCUCAUGGAUGACCUUGGCAAGGGGUGCCAGGCAGUUGGUCGUGCAGGAGGCAUUGCUGAAACGGCGCGGGUGUGCAAGGGCCCUGUGAGGUGAGUCGCAGAGCCAGCCCGGCACCCUCCCCUCCCUCUCGGGUGAUGCACACAGGCCUGGUUUUGUGGAAGUCAGGUUGGGGAUGAGUGGGAUCACUGGGGGUGCCCCAGAGGUAUGGCUGGGGAAGCUCCCCAAGCGUGUUCUCCAGGAGUCCUACUGUUCUGUUAACAUGAGGGCGUUAGGGCUUUGGGAAGGGAGGUGUGAAGCAGCACCAGGGGUCUCCUGGGAGUGGGGGUGAAGAGAGGGAGGCUGGCAUUUCCUCUGGGUGCCACCCACACACUUCAGAAUGUUGCUGCCCGUUACCUGACAACUUUCAUGGAGCCAGGAUCAUAGUUCUUCUCGUUUACUCCCAUGACAAAUAUGGGCGCAUCGGGUGAGGGUGCAGAGAUGACCACACGCGUGGCACCAGCCUCGAUGUGGUCCUAGAGGAGGAGCACAGGUGUCAGGGGGCCCUUCGAGUGCCACCUCCACACCCCCUCUCCCCGCGCAGCCCUGGGCAUCUGUCCCCCACUUACUGAAGCCUCCUGUAAGGACAGGUACACGCCUGUGGACUCCACCACAAAGGGGUUCCCGACAGACUUCCAGGGAAUAUCUCGGGGCUGCUUGCUGUGGAGGGGUGGCAGCGCCCGAGUCAGUCUCUUCCUGCACGGCCUGGCCUUUGCCGUCAUGGCCUUCAGUGUUCCAAAGGCUGACUGGACGCCUUCCUGCCUGGCCUGCAACCGUCUCCCCCCCCCCGCCCCCCCCGCCAGGCCAACAUCCUAGCUGUUGGGAGUCCACCCUGCUGGUCUCCCCUUUCAUCACUGACUCCACCUUGCAGGCCACUUUUCUCUUCUUGACUCGACCGCCCCUGUUGUGCCUUCCUGACUCAGGCCUCUGCCCCCCCAGUGGGACCAUCCCUGACUGCUCCCAGCCCAGGUCGGGCCCAUUCUACCUGUGCUGCUCAGAAUGCACCCCAGGAAAGUGAGGCCUGUCCCGCUGCUUCUGGUCCCUGCCCUGGCAACCUCCCCACUGUCCUUGCCCCUCCUUACCACGCGGCUCCUGCACCAAGGGCCUGCUGCCGGAGCCUGGGCAGCUCCCCGAAGACACGCUGCAUCCCCGGGAGCAGCUCCCGGGGGGAGGACUGAAGCCUGAGGCAGCCCCCGGGCCAGCAACGGAUAGUGGUUUACAUUGGAAAGGGAAAGGAGGGCCGCCUGGGUGGCCAACUCUUGGUUUCCACUCAGGUCAUGAUCUCGGGGUCAUAGGAUCGAGCCCCGUGUUGGGCUCCCUCUCAGCCUGGAGUCUGCUUGGAUUUCUCUCUCCCUCCCCCCCGUUCUCUUUCUCUCCUCAAAUAAAUAAAUAAAUCUUAAAAGAGAAAAAGAGGGAAA
Molecule: long non-coding RNA, 1808 nt
Organism: Mirounga angustirostris (Northern elephant seal)
Lineage: Eukaryota; Metazoa; Chordata; Mammalia; Carnivora; Phocidae
Exons: 2
Source: RefSeq, a predicted model, not a curated record